UUCCGGUUGAUCCUGCCGGAGGCGACCGCUAUUGGAGUUCGAUUAAGACAUGCGAGUCUGAGCAUUAGCUCGGCGUACCGCUCAGUAACACGUGGGUAACCUGCCCUACUGUUCGGAAUAACCUCGGGAAACUGAGAACAAUGCCGAAUAGUCCACCACGCCUGGAACGGUGGGUGGAUGAAGGUAGGAUGGGCCUGCGGCGUAUCAGGUUGUAGGGGGUGUAAUGGACCUCCUAGCCAUCGACGCGUACGGGUGUUGGGAGACAUAGCCCGGAGAUGGAUUCUGAGACACGAAUCCAGGCCCUACGGGGCGCAGCAGUUACGAAAACUUGGCAAUGCGGGAAACCGUGACCAGGGAACUCCAAGUGAGUCUCUUUUAGGGGCUCUUUUCAUGACUCUAAAACGGUCUUGGAAUAAGGGGUGGGUAAGGACGGUGCCAGCCGCCGCGGUAAUACCGGCGCCUCAAGUGGUCGUCGCUUUUAUUGGGCCUAAAACGUCCGUAGCCGGUUUGGUACAUUCGUGGGUAAAUCAACUCGCUCAACGAGUUGAAUUCUGCGAGGACGGCCAGACUAGGGACCGGGAGAGGUGUGGGGAACUCUCAGGGUAGGGGUAAAAUCCUGUCAUCCUGAGAGGACCACCUGUUGCGAAGGCGCCACACUAGAACGGAUCCGACGGUCAGGGACGAAGCCUAGGGGCACGAACCGGAUUAGAUACCCGGGUAGUCCUAGGUGUAAACGCUGUGGACUUGGUGUUGGGGAAGACUAGAGCUUUCCCAGUGCCGUAGCGAAGGUGUUGAGUCCACUGCCUGGGGAGUACGGUCGCAAGGCUGAAACUUAAAGGAAUUGGCGGGGGAGCACUGCAACCGGAGGAUUGUGCGGUUUAAUUGGAUUCAACGCCGGG
Molecule: ribosomal RNA, 899 nt
Filed under: uncultured archaeon
Lineage: Archaea
Description: bacterial SSU rRNA
Rfam family: Archaeal small subunit ribosomal RNA
Source: RNAcentral